CACCACAGGCUACAACAGUCUCCCGCUCCUCCUCUUGAUCAUCUUACUCCUCCUCCUCCUCCACCUCUUCCUUCACCUCACCUCCUCCAACAGCUUCUCCAUCUUCUAGUCCUGCAAUAGAGAGAAGCAAUUUGCCAGAGGCAAUGUCAUGGCAUAUAUAUAAUCUUUCUCUCGAAUCGUGCCACAGUUGGAGAUGACUAGAGCUGCCGGACUGCUCCUGCUCGCUUCCUUUCGGUCAGAUGCAAAAAAUGCCACUGACUCUACCGCGCUGCGCUAGGUACCCUCCUCCUUUUUGUAGCUACUAGAACCUCUUCAAUUCUAAGAUAUUCCAGCAGAUACUGUAAGUUUGCAAGGUCAUCUCUUUACGAAGCUCAACCUCACGCAAGCAGAGACGAUGUUGUUGUAUAUGCGGCGAGCCAGGAGCUUGGCCAUGAAAGAUGUUUCACUCUGUUCUUGAGAAGGUCGAGUCCUCCAUCCGAAUUGCCGUGUCUAUAGCAUGAGCACAACAAUUAUAGUCCCCGCUCCAAAAUAGGUGCCUUGAAACAACUUGAUAAACAGACUAGAAAAUACCUGCAUUGAUCUAGGGACCCCUUAUUUUUGCUUCUUGUCCUUAAAAGAACAAUAUUGGCUAUUUGUGUCAUGGAUUCUUCUACAUCCAAGGAUUCCGAGGGCAAGGAAAACAUUUAUGUAUUGCUGCUAAUAGGGCUGUUGCUUGUAGUGUUUCUCCCACUAACUAUCCUGGCUUUUGUGGCGGAUACCAAUCGUCACGAACCAUGGUGCGACUUCAAGGACAUCAAGGUUUUACACGUGGAGCUCCCAUCAAACUCAACUCCGAGGUUUGUCUCGGAUGUAGAGCUCCAGUUUACCUGCUCGAAUCUCAAGCAUCGCAAGCACGAAGGUCUGCUGGACGUGGAGUUUGAUGCAAUGGACGUAAGUUUGAGCUACCGUGGUGUCGAGCUCGCCAAGUUUUCAUUCCCCAUGUUUGUGCUUCCGAAGAGCAGGAGUGUUUCUGUGACACGGAGGCUUUUGGUGAACGAGACGAGCCUUCCCGUGGUUAAGUUGGAGCUGUUUGAAGCGGAUGUCGCAUCGGGCAAAGUCCCACUCUCGGCAGCUAUUCAUGCUAGUGCUCAGUGGGUUCACAGAUUCGGCCGGGGUAGCGUGGAUUACUUGCAGGCUGAUCUUACCUGUGACUUGGGCAUGCUUCUUCCACAGAAGGGUGGAACCAAAGCGCAAGAUAUUGUGUUUGAUGGUCAGCAGCUGUGCCCUGUUUACUUGUCCUGUCCCUAUUGUGGUUUCAAAGAGAGGGAUGGUGUAGUUCAGGCCCCAGGCCAGGAAGGUGGAAGCGCCAAAAGCCUUGAGGGCAUCGGUAUGGAAGCCUUUGCCAGUCGAUGAGAUCGCCAAGCUACACACUAAGUUUUAUUAUUCAUAUACAAUCUAGUUAGAUUUUUAUAAUUUCUAUCAAACUAAUAUAUAACGACAGAAAAUUCUUGAUGCUAGUAAAAACUACAUGGCAUAUGUGCACGAUCUACCAUAUCAACUUGGCAUUGAUCCAUCAACUGACCACCUUGUGUGGAUUUAAUCGCCACAAUCGUUGUGGUUUGGUAGAUCUCCUUGGUUGCUCGUGACGCUGAAUCCAAGAGGAGACAGUCUUGAUUUUCUUUUUGGUAACAGUUUGACUGACUUCUUCAGCAUAUCUUCUUUAAAGACACACAAAAAAUAUGACUUACCAACGACAAGGAAAAUCAAGCAUACCUCAUUCCACAAUACCAUUUGAGUUUUGCCUUGCAAAGCAGACCAUGUUCAGAAACUCCGUAAUCUCCAUAUUAAAUCCCUCAAGUCUCACCUUGAGUAAUCAACAGAGCAUAAAAGCAAUCCUGUGUCAGCUGUGUCCAAUGCAUCCUGUCACUUACAAGAAAGGGCUCCACCAUCCACAGACUGAAGGAGGAGAUGACCCUCCGCAACUUGAGCGUUGCAUCCACUGAAGAAAUAUGUGGAAGCUAUCGGCGUUCUUGUCCUGCUUCUUCACAGAGUUUGUGGACUACAGCUUCACGGCCAAGGUCGACGCUGUUUCGUCCAGGAGCAUGAAAUGGAAGGAAGUGUUGCAGCAGUUCUGGCCAAAAUUUCCACGACAAAGUCGCGGUCACGGCCAAAGUUCCGACUCAACAGGUAGACAUGCUCGCCAGAGGAUGACUCAAGUAUACAUGAUCAAGAGACAUGCCCCUAGUUUACUGCUUGACCCAAGAGUGAAAUGAAUCACAAUGCAAAAACUGCAAGCCUUCAUUUGCAGGACAGAGAACCAGGUAAAGUCGUACUCUACGUGAUUAGCUUUUGUAUGUCCUCAAACUUUUGCUGUCAGGCAAAGCCAAUGAGGCUGGAUGAAACGCACCACAAGAACUCAAACCUUGUAAGAAGACUGUUUUUAAUUGUAAUCGUUUCGAUGUUUGGAAGGCUGGGAGACAUCCAAGAUGCAAAGAGGUUUUUCGAUUCGAUGCCCCCCUUUUCGUUUUAGAGAAGUUUUUGACGAAUUUUUCCAGCUUAUGGAAGCCGCUGGCCAAUCUCUCCCUGUGUUUAGACCGUCAUCACCUGUGAGUGAGAAUGUUUUACAGAUGGCUCCCGGCGUGCCGUGAUUCUCUCCGAGGCAAAUGUUUAAGAGAAGCAUGCCGCUUCCACCAUCCGACACAAUCGGCUUUCCAGAAACGCGAUGACUUCGAGAGCUCCAACACGGAUAACUUCUAUGGGAGCCGAGCGGCAGUAGUAGCAGCUCCGGACUCGUUUGGAAGCCUCCCUCCAAUGAGAAUCCAGGCGAUCAAGGUACUCCAAAUCACCACAGGCUACAACACUCUCCCGCUCCUCCUCUUGAUUAUCUUCCUCCUCCUCCUCCUCCUCCUUCACCAACACCUUCUCCAUCUUCUAGUCCUGCAGUAGAGAAGCAAUUUGGCAGAGGCAAUGUCAUGGCAUAUAUAUAAUCUUGCUCUCGUAUCGUGCCACAGUUGGAGCACCUCUUCAAUUUAAGACAUUCU
RNAcentral lists this long non-coding RNA (3020 nucleotides) under Selaginella moellendorffii. Its description in RNAcentral is "long non-coding RNA (SMOE_LNC000687)". The record is from RNAcentral. Lineage: Eukaryota; Viridiplantae; Streptophyta; Lycopodiopsida; Selaginellales; Selaginellaceae.